Molecule: transfer RNA, 87 nt
Filed under: Streptomyces jumonjinensis
Lineage: Bacteria; Bacillati; Actinomycetota; Actinomycetes; Kitasatosporales; Streptomycetaceae
Also listed under: 2 other names
Description: tRNA-Leu
Rfam family: tRNA
About the family: Transfer RNA (tRNA) molecules are approximately 80 nucleotides in length. Their secondary structure includes four short double-helical elements and three loops (D, anti-codon, and T loops).
Source: RNAcentral
GCGGCCGUGUUGUAACUGGCAGCCAAGCGGCGCUUAGAACGCCGUGGGAGAAAUCCCGUGUGGGUUCGAGUCCCACCGGCCGCACCA